This 72-nucleotide transfer RNA is filed under the name Bos taurus (domestic cattle). It matches the Rfam family "tRNA". Rfam says of the family: Transfer RNA (tRNA) molecules are approximately 80 nucleotides in length. Their secondary structure includes four short double-helical elements and three loops (D, anti-codon, and T loops). Further hydrogen bonds mediate the characteristic L-shaped molecular structure. tRNAs have two regions of fundamental functional importance: the anti-codon, which is responsible for specific mRNA codon recognition, and the 3' end, to which the tRNAs corresponding amino acid is attached (by aminoacyl-tRNA synthetases). tRNAs cope with the degeneracy of the genetic code in two manners: having more than one tRNA (with a specific anti-codon) for a particular amino acid; and 'wobble' base-pairing, i.e. permitting non-standard base-pairing at the 3rd anti-codon position. Lineage: Eukaryota; Metazoa; Chordata; Mammalia; Artiodactyla; Bovidae. The record is from Rfam by way of RNAcentral. RNAcentral also lists the same sequence under 5 other names.
UCCCUAGUGGCUUAGAUGGUAAAGAAUCUGCCUGUAAUGCAGGAGACCCAGGUUCGAUCCUUGGGUCGGGAA